GACGAACCGUGCGAACGUUGUUCGGAAUCACUGGGCUUAAAGGGCGCGUAGGCGGCCCGCCACGUCCGGGGUGAAAGCCCCCGGCUCAACCGGGGAAGGGCCUCGGAUACGGGCGGGCUCGAGGGAGGUAGGGGCGGGCGGAACUUCCGGUGGAGCGGUGAAAUGCGUUGAUAUCGGAAGGAACGCCGGUGGCGAAAGCGGCCCGCUGGGCCUUCACUGACGCUGAUGCGCGAAAGCCAGGGGAGCGAACGGG
RNAcentral lists this ribosomal RNA (253 nucleotides) under uncultured bacterium. RNAcentral's name for it is "partial 16S ribosomal RNA". It matches the Rfam family "Bacterial small subunit ribosomal RNA", at positions 524 to 776 of the family's 1533-position model. The record is from RNAcentral.